This 496-nucleotide ribosomal RNA is filed under the name uncultured bacterium. RNAcentral's name for it is "partial 16S ribosomal RNA". It matches the Rfam family "Bacterial small subunit ribosomal RNA", at positions 28 to 506 of the family's 1533-position model. The record is from RNAcentral.
GAUGAACGCUGGCGGCGUGCCUAAUACAUGCAAGUCGAGCGAACGGACGCGAAGCUUGCUUCUUUGAUGUUAGCCGCGGACGGGUGAGUCACACGUGGAUAACCUACCUAUCAGACUGGGAUAACUUCGGGAAACCGGAGCUAAUCCCGGAUGAUAUUUUGAACCGCAUGGUUCAAUAGUGAAAGACGGUCUUGCUGUCACUUCUAGCUGGUUCCGCGCUGCUUUAGCGAGUUGGUAAGGUAACAGCUUACCAAGGCAACGCUGCAUAGCCGACCUGAUAGGGGGAACGGCGACACAGGAGGUGAGACACGAUCCAGACACCGACGUGAGGCAGAGGUAGGGAAGCGUCCGAGAAGGGCGAAAGCCUGACGGAGCAACGCCGCGUGGGUGAAGAAGGGCUGCGGAUCGUAAAACUCUGUUAUGAGUGAAGAACAUAUGUGUAAGUAACUGUGCGCAACCGAACGGUACCUAAACAGAAGGCCACGCCAAACUACUU